AGUGAACGCUGGCGGUAGGCCUAACACAUGCAAGUCGAACGGCAGCACAGUAAGAGCUUGCUCUUACGGGUGGCGAGUGGCGGACGGGUGAGGAAUACAUCGGAAUCUACUUUUUCGUGGGGGAUAACGUAGGGAAACUUACGCUAAUACCGCAUACGACCUACGGGUGAAAGCAGGGGAUCUUCGGACCUUGCGCGAUUGAAUGAGCCGAUGUCGGACUAGCUAGUUGGCGGGGUAAAGGCCCACCAAGGCGACGAUCCGUAGCUGGUCUGAGAGGAUGAGCAGCCACACUGGAACUGAGACACGGUCCAGACUCCGACGGGAGGCAGCAGUGGGGAAUAUUGGACAAUGGGCGCAAGCCUGAUCCAGCCAUACCGCGUGGGUGAAGAAGGCCUUCGGGUUGUAAAGCCCUUUUGUUGGGAAAGAAAAGCAGCAGGUUAAUACCCCGCUGUUCUGACGGUACCCAAAGAAUAAGCACCGGCUAACUUCGUG
RNAcentral lists this ribosomal RNA (492 nucleotides) under uncultured bacterium. Its description in RNAcentral is "partial 16S ribosomal RNA". It matches the Rfam family "Bacterial small subunit ribosomal RNA", at positions 29 to 507 of the family's 1533-position model. The record is from RNAcentral.